AACGCGAAGAACCUUACCUGGGCUUGAAGUUAGUGACCGGCUCUGAAGGAGCCUUUCCGAAGGACACGAACUAGGUGCUGCAUGGCUGUCGUCAGCUCGUGCCGUGAGGUGUUGGGUUAAGUCCUGUAACGAGCGCAACCCCUACCAUUAGUUGCCAGCGGGUAAUGCCGGGGACGUCUAAUGGAACUGCCUGCGUAAGCAGCGAGGAAGGUGGGGAUGACGUCAAGUCAUCACGGCCCUUACGUCCAGGGCUACACACGUGCUACAAUGGUCGACACAAUGGGUUGCUACCUGGUAACAGGAUGCUAAUCUCUAAAGUCGGCCUCAGUUCGGAUAGAGGUCUGCAAUUCGACCUCUUGAAGUUGGAUUCGCUAGUAAUCGCGCAUCAGCAAUGGCGCGGUGAAUACGUUCCCGGGCCUUGUACACACCGAGUAUA
This 436-nucleotide ribosomal RNA is filed under the name uncultured bacterium. Its description in RNAcentral is "bacterial SSU rRNA". It matches the Rfam family "Bacterial small subunit ribosomal RNA", at positions 958 to 1398 of the family's 1533-position model. The record is from RNAcentral.